This 232-nucleotide ribosomal RNA is filed under the name Klebsiella aerogenes. RNAcentral's name for it is "partial 23S ribosomal RNA". It matches the Rfam family "Bacterial large subunit ribosomal RNA", at positions 24 to 256 of the family's 2925-position model. Lineage: Bacteria; Pseudomonadati; Pseudomonadota; Gammaproteobacteria; Enterobacterales; Enterobacteriaceae. The record is from RNAcentral.
GUGGAUGCCCUGGCAGUCAGAGGCGAUGAAGGACGUGCUAAUCUGCGAAAAGCGUCGGUAAGGUGAUAUGAACCGUUACAGCCGGCGAUGUCCGAAUGGGGAAACCCAGUGCAAUUCGUUGCACUAUCGUUAACUGAAUACAUAGGUUAACGAGGCGAACCGGGGGAACUGAAACAUCUAAGUACCCCGAGGAAAAGAAAUCAACCGAGAUUCCCCCAGUAGCGGCGAGCGA